UACGUAGGGAGCAAGCGUUGUCCGGAAUCAUUGGGCGUAAAGGGCGCGUAGGCGGCUGGGGAAGUCGGCGGUGAAAGCCCGGAGCUCAACUCCGGGUCGGCCGUCGAGACUCCUCGGCUCGAGCUCACUAGAGGCAGAUGGAAUUCCGGGUGUAGCGGUGGAAUGCGUAGAGAUCCGGAAGAACACCGGUGGCGAAGGCGGUCUGCUGGGGUGAGGCUGACGCUGAGGCGCGACAGCGUGGGGGAGCAAACAGG
This 254-nucleotide ribosomal RNA is filed under the name uncultured bacterium. RNAcentral's name for it is "partial 16S ribosomal RNA". It matches the Rfam family "Bacterial small subunit ribosomal RNA", at positions 524 to 776 of the family's 1533-position model. The record is from RNAcentral.